GGGCGCGUGCAGGCGGGAACCACUCCCGGGUCUGGAUGAGGAUGUCGGAUCCGUUGGCGGGUUGGAGAGAGAGAGCCAGGCAGGACAUAGUGUGGAUCUGAAAUUGUGAGGUAGGGAUGAUCCAGAGUGGUUUUGUUCAAGCAAUUUGUGGAUUUUGUGGGGGUGUCUAGGGUUUGAUUAGGCGGAGAUCUAGAAUUCAGUGUAUCUAUUAGUUGUUGCAGGAAGUGACGAUUGAAGCUUCCUCCGUAAGAAGAAGGAAGAAAUCUCCGGAGAAGGUAACUAUGGGCUGAGACCAAAUCUCCG
Molecule: unclassified non-coding RNA, 303 nt
Filed under: Hevea brasiliensis (rubber tree)
Lineage: Eukaryota; Viridiplantae; Streptophyta; Magnoliopsida; Malpighiales; Euphorbiaceae
Source: RNAcentral